This 509-nucleotide ribosomal RNA is filed under the name uncultured bacterium. RNAcentral describes it as "partial 16S ribosomal RNA". It matches the Rfam family "Bacterial small subunit ribosomal RNA", at positions 28 to 507 of the family's 1533-position model. The record is from RNAcentral.
GACGAACGCUGGCGGCGUGCUUAACACAUGCAAGUCGAACGAAGAGCGAUGGAAGCUUGCUUCUAUCAAUCUUAGUGGCGAACGGGUGAGUAACGCGUAAUCAACCUGCCCUUCAGAGGGGGACAACAGUUGGAAACGACUGCUAAUACCGCAUACGAUCUAAUCUCGGCAUCGAGGAUAGAUGAAAGGUGGCCUCUACAUGUAAGCUAUCACUGAAGGAGGGGAUUGCGUCUGAUAGCUAGUUGGAGGGGUAACGGCCCACCAAGGCGAUGAUCAGUAGCCGGUCUGAGAGGAUGAACGGCCACAUUGGGACUGAGACACGGCCCAGACUCCUACGGGAGGCAGCAGUGGGGAAUCUUCCGCAAUGGACGAAAGUCUGACGGAGCAACGCCGCGUGAGUGAUGACGGCCUUCGGGUUGUAAAGCUCUGUUAAUCGGGACGAAAGGCCUUCUUGCGAAUAGUGAGAAGGAUUGACGGUACCGGAAUAGAAAGCCACGGUUAACUACGUG